Homo sapiens (human) is the source of this 305-nucleotide long non-coding RNA. RefSeq lists it as uncharacterized. The record is from RefSeq and is a predicted model, not a curated record. NCBI's taxonomy places the organism in Eukaryota, Metazoa, Chordata, Mammalia, Primates, Hominidae. The transcript is spliced from 2 exons.
AUGUCUCUGCAAAUGGCAGGAAGGAUGAAAGUCACUGACUGAGCAUAGCAGGCCCCAGCUGGAGCCAGAACAGCAAGACAGGCUGCAGCAAGAGGCUGUGGGGAGACCCCAGCAUGACUUCCCAGAGAAGAGAAGAGCCCAUUCCUGCCUGGUACAGUCCCUGCAUCAGUUCUCCGAUGGCCCAGAGCCUGAGCUCACAAGAGCUCCCAGAGUGGAAACUGUCCCAGGCCCCAGCACGGGCUCAGGCAGAUAGGACACUCCUGGGAGAUGUGUGUUGAGUGGAAUAAAGGCAAGAGGGAAUCAAA